Molecule: ribosomal RNA, 236 nt
Filed under: uncultured bacterium
Lineage: Bacteria
Description: partial 16S ribosomal RNA
Rfam family: Bacterial small subunit ribosomal RNA
Source: RNAcentral
UUCUUCCUACGGGGGGCAGCAGUAGGGAAUCUUCCACAAUGGGCGAAAGCCUGAUGGAGCAACGCCGCGUGGGUGAAGAAGGUCUUCGGAUCGUAAAACCAUGUUGUUAGAGAAGAAAGUGCGUGAGAGUAACUGUUCACAUUUCGACGGUAUCUAACCAGAAAGCCACGGCUAACUACGUGCCAGCAGCCGCGGUAAUACGCAGGUGGCAAGCGUUAUCCGGAUUUAUUGGGCGU